GACACAUAUUUGCAUUUGUUUAUGUGUAUUUCAAAGUUUUGAUUAAUAUGUCAUACUUGGUCAUAAUUGAAUACUUUUUGCAGUGUUUGUUUAUGAGUAUUUUGAAGUUUUGUUCUAUUGGAUGUUUUGGAUAUGAUAUUGCCCCUCCAGCUUCGGAUCAGAUUCCUUUUCAAAUCGAUUUUGUGCUUGUGGUUGUUACUAGAAAUUAAGACGAUUGAGAUCUUCACAUAUCUAAUGCUACUAGUGUUUAUAAAGUGUUGUUACUUGGUUGAUAAUUUGUUGAUUGUGGCUUAAAAAGGUCUUAUCUAUGGGAGAAGGAUAUUGAAUUCUGUCGUAAUUUUGAGAAGAUGGGAGAAAGAGGUAAAACAUCUGACAUAACUUAAUUUGUUUAGUUUCUCAUACGAUUUAUACAAUUUCAGUUGAACUAUUUUGUGUCCAUUUAGCAUAGAACACAUGUUUAAAAACGAAUUAAUGUAGAUUAGACACCUAUUUAUAUGGAUAGUUCCUUGUUCGUUUGAUUUUAAGAUAUAUUUUUAUAUAUUUAAACGAAUUUACGUAUGGUUUGAGUUUAUAAAUAGGAAUUAAGGUUUAUUGUUUUACAUUUAAAUAAAAUACGUAUUGGUUUGGGUUCAUAAGGUAGUUAGGGUUUGAUGUUAUACAUUUAAACAGAAUUACCUAUCAGUUUGAGUUUAUAAGAUAAGGAUAAGGGUUAGUAUUAUUCAUUUAAACCAAAUUAUAAAUCAGUUUGAGUUUAGAAGGUAGGAUUAAGUAUUUUGAAAUGAAUUCUUGGAAAUGGUGUUAGCGUCAUAAUAAUUAGCAUAGCAUUUUUUUUUUUAAUAUCUGAAAGUUCAAGCAAGAAGGUCUUACAUCUUCUAGAGGCGGGAUCCACAACAAAUUAUUAAAUUCAUCAUAUUUGGAAAACGGAUUCUUCUCAACGGGCGUCGAACCCAGUUGGGAAAUUUACCACUUUAUUCAUAUAUAAGCAUCCAUCAACCUAAUCCAUUUCUUAUUUAACAAUUGUUUGCCAGUCAUGCGUUAAGUUUGUUGCUAUAGUUAAAUCUAAAACCUUACACUCUAAAUUUUUAAAUAACAUUGUCUAUAUUCAUCUAUGUCGUCGAUAUGUUUAGAUGGUUGAUAGUGAAAAAUCAUAGUCUUUUAAGUAUUUAUGGACGUGGUCUACUGGAUAAGUUGAUUUAGACAUUGCGAAGCAAAGCAUCAGAGCCACCACCUCACAAUCACUAUGACGCAGCCACCGUAUAGAAGGCAACAGCGAUGGAGCCACCACAUCGAUCGAAACCGCCGACGGGUUUCAGAAUCUGGUCCAACACAUUUCUCGUGGCGUAUAUUUUCGUUGGAUGUCGAGGCUGAGAAGGUGAUCUCGAAUCUCUUUUCGACGCCGUCAAAUGUCAAAGCCAUUGUGUUGAGGAAAACAAAGAGAGUGAGAAACAAAUAGGGAGAGAAAAUGAUUACAUAUUGUUAUAGUAUUAAUUUAUUAUAUAGAAUUAAAUGAGUACCCAAAUAGGUUACUUGUUUUCUUAAAAAAGUUG
RNAcentral lists this unclassified non-coding RNA (1547 nucleotides) under Arabidopsis thaliana (thale cress). Lineage: Eukaryota; Viridiplantae; Streptophyta; Magnoliopsida; Brassicales; Brassicaceae. The record is from RNAcentral.